GAGAGGAGAAAAAAAAAUCGAAGUCGACGAACGAGAUGAAGUCGGUGCUCUCCUCGAUCUUUCAAUCUGUGCUCGCCUCGUUCUAAUUCUGAAGAACUCCGACCCCGAAAAAAUCUCCGAUUUCUGAAAAAAUUGUCUCUUUCUGGGCUUUCUCUACUUUGCUUGUUUUGAUUCUAAUUUGUCUCCUACGUGCGACAUCGGCUCGUUACAGACUUCCUUGCUCUGUUCUAAUCACGUUUUGUCUUUGUGACCUUGUGUGUUCUGUGUUAAGAGCUGCUGUACUGAGAUCAUCUGAAGAAAUCAUUAACAGCAGGAGCUGGUUGGAAGAAGAAUUAGGACAAGGCGACGAAGGUUUAAGUAAUAACCAUGAAUGUUUAGGCUCACAUGUCGGGACAACAACGAUCUGGGCAGUCUCCAAACCAAGGGAAUAACGGGAACUCUCAAAUGUAGAACUUAGUUGCUGCUUCGGCUGGUGCUGGUGGUAGCGUAGGGCCUUCACGUAGCACCGUUGGUCCGAUGGACCAUGAUAUCUAAGGCAGUACACGCAAAUCCUUGUUGGGCUGGAAUAUGCAAUGGCAUGGCUGCUGGUGUGAUGUUGGCCGCUAGCUUUGAUCUUGUGAACAUGUUGUGUAUCACGGGAUGUAUUUGUGAUGAAGUGUAGAGUCACAUGUUUAUAGUCUUGUUGUGAACAUGUUGUGUUGUAUCACGGGAUGUAUUUGUGAUGAAGUGUUGAGUCACAAAAUCUUUAUAAAUAAUGUAUUCAAAGCAUUGUUUUCAAUCAUAAACCACAAUCUGAAACAUUUCUUUCA
This is a long non-coding RNA of Brassica oleracea var. oleracea, 809 nucleotides long. RefSeq lists it as uncharacterized. The transcript is spliced from 3 exons. The record is from RefSeq and is a predicted model, not a curated record. Lineage: Eukaryota; Viridiplantae; Streptophyta; Magnoliopsida; Brassicales; Brassicaceae.